RNAcentral lists this ribosomal RNA (587 nucleotides) under uncultured bacterium. Its description in RNAcentral is "partial 16S ribosomal RNA". It matches the Rfam family "Bacterial small subunit ribosomal RNA", at positions 355 to 1375 of the family's 1533-position model. The record is from RNAcentral.
UGGGGAAUUUUGGACAAUGGGCGAAAGCCUGAUCCAGCAAUGCCGCGUGUGUGAAGAAGGCCUUCGGGUUGUAAAGCACUUUUGUCCGGAAAGAAAUCCUUGGCUCUAAUACAGUCGGGGGAUGACGGUACCGGAAGAAUAAGCACCGGCUAACUACGUGCCAGCAGCCGCGGUAAUACGUAGGGUGCAAGCGUUAAUCGGAAUUACUGGGCGUAAAGCGUGCGCAGGCGGUUUGCUAAGACCGAUGUGAAAUCCCCGGGCUCAACCUGGGAACUGCAUUGGUGACUGGCAGGCUAGAGUAUGGCAGAGGGGGGUAGAAUUCCACGUGUAGCAGUGAAAUGCGUAGAGAUGUGGAGGAAUACCGAUGGCGAAGGCAGCCCCCCUGGGGCCAAUACUGACGCUCAUGCACGAAAGCGUGGGGGAGCAAACAGGAUUAGAUACCCUGGUAGUCCACGCCCUAAACGAUGUCAACUAGUUGUUGGGGAUUCAUUUCCUUAGUAACGUAGCUAACGCGUGAAGUUGACCGCCUGGGGAGUACGGUCGCAAGAUUAAAACUCAAGGAAUUGACGGGGUCAUAGCUGUUUCCU